GCCGGGCACGGUGGUGUGUUCCUGUAAUUCCAGCUACCUGGGAGGCUGAGGCGGGAGGAUCACUUGAGUCCAGGAGUUUGAAUCCAGCCUGGGCAACAUAGUGAGACCCCAUCUCUU
Molecule: unclassified non-coding RNA, 117 nt
Organism: Macaca fascicularis (crab-eating macaque)
Lineage: Eukaryota; Metazoa; Chordata; Mammalia; Primates; Cercopithecidae
Rfam family: Metazoan signal recognition particle RNA
About the family: The signal recognition particle (SRP) is a universally conserved ribonucleoprotein. It is involved in the co-translational targeting of proteins to membranes.
Source: Ensembl